AGUGAACGCUGGCGGUAGGCCUAACAUAUGCAAGUCGAACGGCAGCACAGUAAGAGCUUGCUCUUACGGGUGGCGAGUGGCGGACGGGUGAGGAAUACAUCGGAAUCUACUUUUUCGUGGGGGAUAACGUAGGGAAACUUACGCUAAUACCGCAUACGACCUACGGGUGAAAGCAGGGGAUCUUCGGACCUUGCGCGAUUGAAUGAGCCGAUGUCGCAUUAGCUAGUUGGCGGGGUAAAGGCCCACCAAGGCGACGAUCCGUAGCUGGUCUGAGAGGAUGAGCAGCCACACUGGAACUGAGACACGGUCCAGACUCCUACGGGAGGCAGCAGUGGGGAAUAUUGGACAAUGGGCGCAAGCCUGAUCCAGCCAUACCGCGUGGGUGAAGAAGGCCUUCGGGUUGUAAAGCCCUUUUGUUGGGAAAGAAAAGCAGCAGGUUAAUACCCCGCUGUUCUGACGGUACCCAAAGAAUAAGCACCGGCUAACUUCGUG
Molecule: ribosomal RNA, 492 nt
Filed under: uncultured bacterium
Lineage: Bacteria
Description: partial 16S ribosomal RNA
Rfam family: Bacterial small subunit ribosomal RNA
Source: RNAcentral